RNAcentral lists this ribosomal RNA (719 nucleotides) under Priestia flexa. RNAcentral's name for it is "bacterial SSU rRNA". It matches the Rfam family "Bacterial small subunit ribosomal RNA", at positions 15 to 716 of the family's 1533-position model. Lineage: Bacteria; Bacillati; Bacillota; Bacilli; Caryophanales; Bacillaceae. The record is from RNAcentral.
GAUCCUGGCUCAGGAUGAACGCUGGCGGCGUGCCUAAUAAUGUAAGUCGUGCGAACUGAUUAGAAGCUUGCUUCUAUGACGUUAGCGGCGGACGGGUGAGUAACACGUGGGCAACCUGCCUGUAAGACUGGGAUAACUCCGGGAAACCGGAGCUAAUACCGGAUAACAUUUUCUCUUGCAUAAGAGAAAAUUGAAAGAUGGUUUCGGCUAUCACUUACAGAUGGGCCCGCGGUGCAUUAGCUAGUUGGUGAGGUAACGGCUCACCAAGGCAACGAUGCAUAGCCGACCUGAGAGGGUGAUCGGCCACACUGGGACUGAGACACGGCCCAGACUCCUACGGGAGGCAGCAGUAGGGAAUCUUCCGCAAUGGACGAAAGUCUGACGGAGCAACGCCGCGUGAGUGAUGAAGGCUUUCGGGUCGUAAAACUCUGUUGUUAGGGAAGAACAAGUACAAGAGUAACUGCUUGUACCUUGACGGUACCUAACCAGAAAGCCACGGCUAACUACGUGCCAGCAGCCGCGGUAAUACGUAGGUGGCAAGCGUUAUCCGGAAUUAUUGGGCGUAAAGCGCGCGCAGGCGGUUUCUUAAGUCUGAUGUGAAAGCCCACGGCUCAACCGUGGAGGGUCAUUGGAAACUGGGGAACUUGAGUGCAGAAGAGAAAAGCGGAAUUCCACGUGUAGCGGUGAAAUGCGUAGAGAUGUGGAGGAACACCAGUGGC